GACGAACGCUGGCGGCGUGCUUAACACAUGCAAGUCGAACGGAAAGGCCCUGCUUUUGUGGGGUGCUCGAGUGGCGAACGGGUGAGUAACACGUGAGUAACCUGCGCUUGACUUUGGGAUAACUUCAGGAAACUGGGGCUAAUACCGGAUAGGAGCUCCUGCUGCAUGGUGGGGGUUGGAAAGUUUCGGCGGUUGGGGAUGGACUCGCGGCUUAUCAGCUUGUUGGUGGGGUAGUGGCUUACCAAGGCUUUGACGGGUAGCCGGCCUGAGAGGGGGACCGGCCACAUUGGGACUGAGGGACGGCCCAGACUCCUACGGGAGGCAGCAGUGGGGAAUAUGGCACAAUGGGCGGAAGCCUGAUGCAGCAACGCCGCGUGCGGGAUGACGGCCUUCGGGUUGUAAACCGCUUUCGCCUGUGACGAAGCGUGAGUGACGGUAAUGGGUAAAGAAGCACCGGCUAACUACGUG
Molecule: ribosomal RNA, 468 nt
Filed under: uncultured bacterium
Lineage: Bacteria
Description: partial 16S ribosomal RNA
Rfam family: Bacterial small subunit ribosomal RNA
Source: RNAcentral